This 145-nucleotide non-coding RNA is filed under the name Salmonella enterica subsp. arizonae serovar 62:z4,z23:-. Its description in RNAcentral is "Salmonella enterica subsp. arizonae serovar 62:z4,z23:-- Salmonella enterica Typhi npcRNA 3". It matches the Rfam family "Salmonella enterica Typhi npcRNA 3". Rfam says of the family: Promoter associated sRNA gene that is co-transcribed with the ramA gene (mediates multidrug resistance) and overlaps with the DNA binding site of the RamR repressor. Lineage: Bacteria; Pseudomonadati; Pseudomonadota; Gammaproteobacteria; Enterobacterales; Enterobacteriaceae. RNAcentral also lists the same sequence under 1 other name. The record is from Rfam by way of RNAcentral.
UUACUCACUCAUAAUCAAGAGCUGCCCACGUGAAGCGGUUGAAAAGCGUAUUGCAGGCCAUGCCAUAAGCCGUCUCACAAUUUGUGUGGUUAUUACUAUGCUUAUUGCUAUUGCAGUAAAUGUACGGUGUGGGAGCCGUUGACGA